Molecule: long non-coding RNA, 595 nt
Organism: Musa acuminata AAA Group (dessert banana)
Lineage: Eukaryota; Viridiplantae; Streptophyta; Magnoliopsida; Zingiberales; Musaceae
Exons: 2
Source: RefSeq, a predicted model, not a curated record
CUCUCUCUCUCUCUCUCUCUCUCUCUCUCUCUCUCUCUCUAUAAAUAACCUGCACUUGACUUGCAAGAACACAAGGAGUGGAGGAUGGCAAGACUUCUCAACCUCUUCUUGGCACUUCUUCUUUGCACCAGCAGUGGGGGUCUCGCAGAGCCAUGCAGUUCAUCUGACAUCGCCGUGCGUCAGACGAGGACAGGAGGCACCGUGGAAGGGAAGCCGGAGUACGAGGUGUUGGUGACCAACACCUGCGAGUGCUCGCAGUCGCGGGUGCUCCUGCGGUGCUACGGCCUCAGCAGCGUCGAGCCGGUCAACCGCCGCGCCAUCAGGCCGGUGGACGAGGAGCGGUGCAUCGUCGGCGGUGGCCGACCGUUAACGAGGGGCGCUCCGAUCAGGUUCAAGUACGCCUGGAUGACUCCCCAGGACUUUCCUGUCAUCAGCACUCAGAUCCACUGCCAGUGAAGCUGAAGGGAAGCUUACAGACUUCUUAUACUUGAUGUCCUCCUCCUCCUCCUCUUCUUCUUUCGAAGGAUGAAGCCUUGUUCUUCUCUUUAGUGCUAGUGGAAAGUUCUCCUACAGAAUGCUAUCUCUUGUGCUUGCA